RNAcentral lists this transfer RNA (77 nucleotides) under Gammaproteobacteria bacterium. RNAcentral describes it as "tRNA-Arg". It matches the Rfam family "tRNA". Rfam says of the family: Transfer RNA (tRNA) molecules are approximately 80 nucleotides in length. Their secondary structure includes four short double-helical elements and three loops (D, anti-codon, and T loops). Further hydrogen bonds mediate the characteristic L-shaped molecular structure. tRNAs have two regions of fundamental functional importance: the anti-codon, which is responsible for specific mRNA codon recognition, and the 3' end, to which the tRNAs corresponding amino acid is attached (by aminoacyl-tRNA synthetases). tRNAs cope with the degeneracy of the genetic code in two manners: having more than one tRNA (with a specific anti-codon) for a particular amino acid; and 'wobble' base-pairing, i.e. permitting non-standard base-pairing at the 3rd anti-codon position. The record is from RNAcentral. Lineage: Bacteria; Pseudomonadati; Pseudomonadota; Gammaproteobacteria.
GCGCCCGUAGCUCAGUUGGAUAGAGUGUUGCCCUCCGAAGGCAGAGGUCACAGGUUCAAGUCCUGUCGGGCGCGCCA